GGCCGGUGAUGUAAUCAAAAUAUUUGCUACUCUUGAUGAAGAAUUUCUUCAGUUGAUGAUAUUUACCACCAAGAUCUCUGAGGCCUUU
This 88-nucleotide small nucleolar RNA is filed under the name Arabidopsis thaliana (thale cress). Its description in RNAcentral is "U24 snRNA". It matches the Rfam family "Small nucleolar RNA SNORD24". From Rfam's summary of the family: U24 is a member of the C/D class of snoRNA which contain the C (UGAUGA) and D (CUGA) box motifs. The record is from RNAcentral. Lineage: Eukaryota; Viridiplantae; Streptophyta; Magnoliopsida; Brassicales; Brassicaceae.